GAUCUUUUACAUUUUAUUAAAUUUUUAAAUAGAUUUAAAAUUGUAAAGGGAGUAAUACGCUUUAGUUUUUCUUUUUAGCUAGUUUUAUUUGUUGUCACAGGGUAAGCCUGUUGUUAGUUGUUUAUUUUUUUUUAUUUCAAUAACCCUUAAAAGUAGGGCUCUGUGUAAUAACUUUUUGUUUUUAAAAUACAACUCUUCAUUAGUUUUAUUAUUUAAAUUAAUUAUUAGAUUAGUAGAUUUUUAUUUUCUUAUUAAAUUUUUUUCUUUUGUUUUUUAAAGUUAUUUAUGUUUUACUGAUUUAACUUUAGACUGGUUAAUAAAACCUUAGCUAUAAUUUUUAUAGUUAUUUCUGCCCUAUGUUAUUGAAAUAAAUGGCUGUGGUUUUCACACUAAGGUAGCGAAAUCAUUAGUUAUUUAAUUGGUAACUUGUAUGAAUGAAACGCCUAAAGUAAUAUUAUAUUUUUUCUUUGAACUUAUAUUUUUGUUGAAAAUAACAAAAAAGCCCCUAAGACUAAAAGACCCUAAAAUUUUUAUAACUAUUUGUUGUUAGGUUAUUUGGUUGGGGCAAUAAGAUUUAUUAAAUAAGUCUAUUUUAUUUUGUUUGAGAACUUGAAAAUUUAGAGAAAUAAAUAAAAUACUUUAGGGAUAACAGCUUUAUUGCUUUUUUAAGGCCUUAUUAAUGAAGUAGUUUGGGACCUCGAUGUUGGAUUGGAAAAACUUUUAGGCGUAG
This 730-nucleotide ribosomal RNA is filed under the name Proctophyllodes stylifer. RNAcentral describes it as "partial large subunit ribosomal RNA". Lineage: Eukaryota; Metazoa; Arthropoda; Arachnida; Sarcoptiformes; Proctophyllodidae. The record is from RNAcentral.